UUUUACGGGCUCACCAACGAACCUAUGUUGGUUUUACGGGCUCACCAACGAACCUUUACAAUUGGUUUUACGGGUUCACCAAUCAACCUAUUCCGUUGGUUUUGCGGGCUAACCAACUAACCUUUACAAGGAGUUUAAUAAACAAAGAAAGAAGAUUUAAGCUCCUAGAUGAGCAAAUAUAACAAUAUAAUCUACAAAGAAGAGUUUAGAGAAUAG
Molecule: long non-coding RNA, 216 nt
Filed under: Phoenix dactylifera (date palm)
Lineage: Eukaryota; Viridiplantae; Streptophyta; Magnoliopsida; Arecales; Arecaceae
Description: long non-coding RNA (PDAC_LNC009860)
Source: RNAcentral